UGUUUUGUUUUUUGUUUUAUUUUGAAUUCAGGAACGACUAGUAGUGAGUAUUACUUUUUUCAUAUUUUUCUCCUCUGUCUAAGUUCUACAUUUGUCUCUUUCUCCAUUUCAACUUUUUCGCCCUACCUUAAUUCUUGGUUUGUCAGUUGACGUGUCGUUAGUUUCCAAUACUUGACUCCACCCUGAUUGCUAUAAAGAUAC
RNAcentral lists this long non-coding RNA (201 nucleotides) under Hordeum vulgare. RNAcentral describes it as "long non-coding RNA (HVUL_LNC006445)". Lineage: Eukaryota; Viridiplantae; Streptophyta; Magnoliopsida; Poales; Poaceae. The record is from RNAcentral.